UGCAGUCGAGGGGCAUCGCGGGUGGCAACACCUGGCGGCGACCGGCGAACGGGUGAGUAACGCGUGAGCAACAUGUCCUCAGUCGGGGGAUAAGCGAGGGAAACUUCGUCUAAUACCCCAUAACACUUUCAGGCGCAUGCCUUUAAGUUGAAAGCUUUUUUUGCGACUUUGGUUUGGCUCGCGUGACAUUAGCUAGUCGGUGGGGUAACGGCUCACCGAGGCUACGAUGUCUAGGGGUUCUGAGAGGAAGGCCCCCCACAUUGGGACUGGGACACGGCCCAAACUCCUACGGGAGGCAGCAGUGAGGAAUAUUGGUCAAUGGACGGAAGUCUGAACCAGCCAUGCCGCGUGAAGGAAGACUGCCCUAUGGGUUGUAAACUUCUUUUGCAGCAGAGCAAUAAGGCGUACGCGUACGCCGAUGAGAGUAUGUUGCGAAUAAGCAUCGGCUAACUCCGUGCCAGCAGCCGCGGUAAUACGGAGGAUGCGAGCGUUAUCCGGAUUUAUUGGGUUUAAAGGGUGCGUAGGCUGUUUUGUAAGUCAGCGGUGAAAGACCGGGGCCCAACUCCGGAAGUGCCGUUGAUACUGCAUUGCUAGAGUUCCCCUGCCGUGG
This 610-nucleotide ribosomal RNA is filed under the name uncultured bacterium. Its description in RNAcentral is "bacterial SSU rRNA". It matches the Rfam family "Bacterial small subunit ribosomal RNA", at positions 56 to 660 of the family's 1533-position model. The record is from RNAcentral.